AAAAAGAUAAGCUAAUCAAGCUUUUAGGUUCAUACCCUGCAUAUAAAGGUAUAAAUCCUUUUCUUUUUA
RNAcentral lists this transfer RNA (69 nucleotides) under Stictochironomus akizukii. RNAcentral describes it as "tRNA-Met". It matches the Rfam family "tRNA". Rfam says of the family: Transfer RNA (tRNA) molecules are approximately 80 nucleotides in length. Lineage: Eukaryota; Metazoa; Arthropoda; Insecta; Diptera; Chironomidae. RNAcentral also lists the same sequence under 1 other name. The record is from RNAcentral.